GGGGUUGUGGCUCAGUGGAAGAGCGCUUGCCUUACAUGUGUGAGGCACUGGGUUCAAUCCUCAGCACCA
RNAcentral lists this transfer RNA (69 nucleotides) under Ictidomys tridecemlineatus (thirteen-lined ground squirrel). Its description in RNAcentral is "Spermophilus tridecemlineatus (thirteen-lined ground squirrel) tRNA". It matches the Rfam family "tRNA". Rfam says of the family: Transfer RNA (tRNA) molecules are approximately 80 nucleotides in length. Their secondary structure includes four short double-helical elements and three loops (D, anti-codon, and T loops). The record is from Rfam by way of RNAcentral. Lineage: Eukaryota; Metazoa; Chordata; Mammalia; Rodentia; Sciuridae.